AUUCCAGCUCCAAUAGCGUAUGUUAAAGUUGUUGCGGCUAAAAAGCUCGUAGUUGGAUUUCUAGAUGAGAGGAGAGGUCCACCUCAUGGGUGUGCAUCUUCUUCCGCUCGUCUAUCCGCUCUGCAAACGUGUUCGCGCUUGAGUGCGUGGCGCGGAGGUAGGGCCUUUUACUUUGAGGAAAUUAGAGUGUUCACGGCAGGCUUACGCCUUGAAUAUAUUAGCAUGGAAUAAUAACAUAGGAUCUUGGUCCUAUUUUGUUGGUUUCUAGGACUUAGAUAAUGAUUAAUAGGGACAAUUGGGGGCAUUCGUAUCGCGGUGUCAGAGGUGGAAUUCUUGGAUUACUGCGCGACGAACUACUGCGAAAGCAUUUGCCAAGGAUGUUUUCAUUA
This 389-nucleotide ribosomal RNA is filed under the name Syndiniales sp. RNAcentral describes it as "partial small subunit ribosomal RNA". It matches the Rfam family "Eukaryotic small subunit ribosomal RNA", at positions 582 to 975 of the family's 1831-position model. Lineage: Eukaryota; Dinophyceae; Syndiniales. The record is from RNAcentral.